UUGUAGUCUAAAAACUUGCAAUCUUUUGGAGAUAUGACAUAUGCACUAUAUGAUUAAAAAUGUGGCCUUAUACUCAUUCCAUCAGAGGCCUAAAUAAUAUCUGCCACUUCAGCCAAGCUGUAGGCUGCUCUGAAUGCCAUGUCCUCAGCUGAGGUUUUCUUAGUUGCAUUGCAAAUCAUGUUGGCAGAAAUUGUACUGUUGAAAUUAAUUCUGCUUUAGAUGAACAAUCAACUGAUGUAUCUGUUUUGUAUGUGUGACCUAUUAAGGGAAAUGGAAAAUCAAUGUACUGCCUGUCCUGAAUUGUGUCAGCCAGCCACAGGGAUAACUGCUUACCAAAGCUACUCCUGUUUCCUCUGAGCAGCAGCUUUAGCAAAGUGACAGAAAUACCAUAAAGAAGCCAUGAGGGAGCACAGCCCACUCUGCUCUGCUUUCUUGGUCACCGUGAUACAUCAUUCUUGAUUCUGUCUAGGAUUUGAGAGCCCUGAAGAUGCCUCUUUUGUGGACAAGGGCACUACUGAAAGAGUGAGAGCUGCUGAUGUUGCUGGUGCAAAGGGACAGCCCUGCACUGCCGCUCUGACGGGGGGCUCCUGGCAGGGCUGUGGGCACAGCCCCAGGGCAGCUCAGCCUUGAGUCACACAACUGGCCACGGAACCUCUGGUGCUUCCUCAGGGUUUUGCUCAGAUGCAGCUGCACAACCUCCUGCAGCAGCUCCUUUGUGAGGGCAGCAGUGGUACCUCCUGAGCUGAUGCUGUUUGAGUUCCCCAUAAUACUUCUCCUUGCCUGUUUCCUUUGAGUGGAGCCUUCAUCCUGUGGCCGUUGAAUGGGAAGCUUACAGAGAAGAAACAAUGUUUUGAACACGCUGAGCCUCUUUCUUCAGAGUGCCAGGAGGAGGCCAAACCACUUCAUUUCUGAGCUGAUGAUAUGUGCUGACACUGCUGUGCUGCUCUGGGACCCAGGGCAGCUCAGGGACCAAACCGGGCACGGUCGUGUUGGCUCCGGCUGGAGCACCAGACAGGGCCUUGGAGAAGAAGAUUCUUCAGUGGAAUUGUAUGUUCCCUAAAUCUUACUGUCUUACCCAACAAGUAGGACUGAGGGUCUAGCCAGCCUGACUGAGAGUGCUUCUGGGCUAAAACUGUGUCACAAUACUGGCACAAGGCAGGUGAACUCAUUCUCCAGCCAGCAGGACAGAGCUCGGCGGGCUCUGGGAGCCAGGCUGGGGCAGUGGGGCUGGGGCAGUGCCAG
Molecule: long non-coding RNA, 1242 nt
Organism: Chiroxiphia lanceolata (lance-tailed manakin)
Lineage: Eukaryota; Metazoa; Chordata; Aves; Passeriformes; Pipridae
Exons: 4
Source: RefSeq, a predicted model, not a curated record